Molecule: ribosomal RNA, 233 nt
Filed under: uncultured bacterium
Lineage: Bacteria
Description: partial 16S ribosomal RNA
Rfam family: Bacterial small subunit ribosomal RNA
Source: RNAcentral
GACAGUGGCGCACGGGUGAGUAACGCGUGGGGACCUACCUUUUAGUACGGAACAACAGUUGGAAACGACUGCUAAUACCGCAUACGCCCUGAGGGGGAAAGGCUUCGGCCGCUCUUGGAUGAUCCCGCGUCUGAUUAGCUUGUUGGUGGGGUAACGGCCUACCAAGGCGACGAUCAGUAGCUGGUCUGAGAGGAUGAUCAGCCACACUGGGACUGAGACACGGCCCAGACUCC